RNAcentral lists this ribosomal RNA (492 nucleotides) under uncultured bacterium. RNAcentral describes it as "partial 16S ribosomal RNA". It matches the Rfam family "Bacterial small subunit ribosomal RNA", at positions 29 to 507 of the family's 1533-position model. The record is from RNAcentral.
AGUGAACGCUGGCGGUAGGCCUAACACAUGCAAGUCGAACGGCAGCACAGUAAGAGCUUGCUCUUACGGGUGGCGAGUGGCGGACGGGUGAGGAAUACAUCGGAAUCUACUUUUUCGUGGGGGAUAACGUAGGGAAACUUACGCUAAUACAGCAUACGACCUACGGGUGAAAGCAGGGGAUCUUCGGACCUUGCGCGAUUGAAUGAGCCGAUGUCGGAUUAGCUAGUUGGCGGGGUAAAUGCCCACCAAGGCGACGAUCCGUGGCUUGUCUGAGAGGAUGAUCAGCCACACGGGAAGGGAGACACGGUCCAGACUCCUACGGGAGGCACCAGUGGGGAAUAUUGGACAAUGGGCGCAAGCCUGAUCCAGCCAUACGGCGUGGGUGAAGAAGGCCUUCGGGUUGUAAAGCCCUUUUGUUGGGAAAGAAAAGCAGCAGGUUAAUACCCCGCUGUUCUGACGGUACCCAAAGAAUAAGCACCGGCUAACUUCGUG